CAGCCGCCGCGGUAAUACGUAGGUGGCAAGCGUUGUCCGGAAUUAUUGGGCGUAAAGGGCUCGCAGGCGGUUUCUUAAGUCUGAUGUGAAAGCCCCCGGCUCAACCGGGGAGGGUCAUUGGAAACUGGGAAACUUGAGUGGAGAAGAGGAGAGUGGAAUUCCACGUGUAGCGGUGAAAUGCGUAGAGAUGUGGAGGAACACCAGUGGCGAAGGCGACUCUCUGGUCUGUAACUGACGCUGAGGAGCGAAAGCGUGGGGAGCGGACAGGAUUAGAUACCCGUGUAGUCCCUGUCUCUUAUAU
This 301-nucleotide ribosomal RNA is filed under the name uncultured bacterium. Its description in RNAcentral is "partial 16S ribosomal RNA". It matches the Rfam family "Bacterial small subunit ribosomal RNA", at positions 509 to 809 of the family's 1533-position model. The record is from RNAcentral.